Molecule: ribosomal RNA, 524 nt
Filed under: Salmonella enterica
Lineage: Bacteria; Pseudomonadati; Pseudomonadota; Gammaproteobacteria; Enterobacterales; Enterobacteriaceae
Also listed under: 1 other name
Description: partial 23S ribosomal RNA
Rfam family: Bacterial large subunit ribosomal RNA
Source: RNAcentral
UGUGAGGUUAAGCGACUAAGCGUACACGGUGGAUGCCCUGGCAGUCAGAGGCGAUGAAGGGCGUGCUAAUCUGCGAUAAGCGCCGGUAAGGUGAUAUGAACCGUUAUAACCGGCGAUACCCGAAUGGGGAAACCCAGUGUGAUUCGUCACACUAUCAUUAACUGAAUCCAUAGGUUAAUGAGGCGAACCGGGGGAACUGAAACAUCUAAGUACCCCGAGGAAAAGAAAUCAACCGAGAUUCCCCCAGUAGCGGCGAGCGAACGGGGAGGAGCCCAGAGCCUGAAUCAGCAUGUGUGUUAGUGGAAGCGUCUGGAAAGGCGCGCGAUACAGGGUGACAGCCCCGUACACAAAAGCGCAUGUGCUGUGAGCUCGAUGAGUAGGGCGGGACACGUGGUAUCCUGUCUGAAUAUGGGGGGACCAUCCUCCAAGGCUAAAUACUCCUGACUGACCGAUAGUGAACCAGUACCGUGAGGGAAAGGCGAAAAGAACCCCGGCGAGGGGAGUGAAAAAGAACCUGAAACCGU